UACGUAGGUGGCAAGCGUUAUCCGGAAUUACUGGGCGUAAAGCGCACGCAGGCGGUCUUGUAAGUUUGGCGUGAAAGCUCCCGGCUUAACUGGGAGAGGUCGCUGAAGACUGCAAGACUUGAGGAAAUGAGAGGGGUGUAGAAUUCCCGGUGUAGUGGUGGAAUGCGUAGAUAUCGGGGGGAAUACCAGUGGCGAAAGCGGCACCCUAGCAUUUUUCUGACGCUCAUGUGCGAAAGCGUGGGGAGCGAACGGG
Molecule: ribosomal RNA, 253 nt
Filed under: uncultured bacterium
Lineage: Bacteria
Description: partial 16S ribosomal RNA
Rfam family: Bacterial small subunit ribosomal RNA
Source: RNAcentral